AGAACUUAAACCGCAACCAGAUCU
This 24-nucleotide non-coding RNA is filed under the name Arabidopsis thaliana (thale cress). The record is from RNAcentral. Lineage: Eukaryota; Viridiplantae; Streptophyta; Magnoliopsida; Brassicales; Brassicaceae.